UACGUAGGUUGCGAGCGUUGUCCGGAUUUACUGGGCGUAAAGCGCGCGCAGGCGGUCUUGAAAGUCGAAUGUGAAAGCUCCCGGCCCAACUGGGAGAGGCCGUUCGAAACUUCGAGACUUGAAGGCGGGAGAGGCAGAUGGAAUUUCCGGUGUAGCGGUAAAAUGCGUAGAUACCGGAAGGAACACCAGUGGCGAAAGCGAUCUGCUGGCCCGCC
This 215-nucleotide ribosomal RNA is filed under the name uncultured bacterium. Its description in RNAcentral is "partial 16S ribosomal RNA". It matches the Rfam family "Bacterial small subunit ribosomal RNA", at positions 524 to 738 of the family's 1533-position model. The record is from RNAcentral.